This 470-nucleotide ribosomal RNA is filed under the name uncultured bacterium. RNAcentral describes it as "bacterial SSU rRNA". It matches the Rfam family "Bacterial small subunit ribosomal RNA", at positions 329 to 797 of the family's 1533-position model. The record is from RNAcentral.
UUCCAGACUCCUACGGGAGGCAGCAGUGAGGAAUAUUGGUCAAUGGGCGGGAGCCUGAACCAGCCAAGUCGCGUGAGGGAAGACGGUCCUACGGAUUGUAAACCUCUUUUGCCGGGGAGCAACGGGGUCCUUGCGAGGGCCCGAUGAGAGUACCCGGAGAAAAAGCAUCGGCUAACUCCGUGCCAGCAGCCGCGGUAAUACGGAGGAUCCGAGCGUUAUCCGGAUUUAUUGGGUUUAAAGGGAGCGUAGAUGGGUUGUUAAGUCAGUUGUGAAAGUUUGCGGCUCAACCGUAAAAUUGCAGUUGAAACUGGCAGUCUUGAGUACAGUAGAGGUGGGCGGAAUUCGUGGUGUAGCGGUGAAAUGCUUAGAUAUCACGAAGAACUCCGAUUGCGAAGGCAGCUCACUGGACUGCAACUGACACUGAUGCUCGAAAGUGUGGGUAUCAAACAGGAUUAGAUACCCCGGUAUCA